AUAAAGAAAAGGUUUUG
Molecule: small RNA, 17 nt
Filed under: Arabidopsis thaliana (thale cress)
Lineage: Eukaryota; Viridiplantae; Streptophyta; Magnoliopsida; Brassicales; Brassicaceae
Description: ATSL230630
Source: RNAcentral